RNAcentral lists this transfer RNA (86 nucleotides) under Pseudobdellovibrionaceae bacterium. RNAcentral describes it as "Bdellovibrionaceae bacterium tRNA-Tyr". It matches the Rfam family "tRNA". Rfam says of the family: Transfer RNA (tRNA) molecules are approximately 80 nucleotides in length. Their secondary structure includes four short double-helical elements and three loops (D, anti-codon, and T loops). Further hydrogen bonds mediate the characteristic L-shaped molecular structure. tRNAs have two regions of fundamental functional importance: the anti-codon, which is responsible for specific mRNA codon recognition, and the 3' end, to which the tRNAs corresponding amino acid is attached (by aminoacyl-tRNA synthetases). tRNAs cope with the degeneracy of the genetic code in two manners: having more than one tRNA (with a specific anti-codon) for a particular amino acid; and 'wobble' base-pairing, i.e. permitting non-standard base-pairing at the 3rd anti-codon position. The record is from RNAcentral. Lineage: Bacteria; Pseudomonadati; Bdellovibrionota; Bdellovibrionia; Bdellovibrionales; Pseudobdellovibrionaceae.
GGAGGGGUGCCCGAGUGGCUAAAGGGGGCGGGCUGUAAACCCGCUGACUUCGGUCUACAUAGGUUCGAAUCCUAUCCCCUCCACCA